UUAAUUGAAGAGUUUGAUCAUGGCUCAGAUUGAACGCUGGCGGCAGGCCUAACACAUGCAAGUCGAGCGGAAACGACAACAUUGACCCUUCGGGUGAUUUAUUGGGCGUCGAGCGGCGGACGGGUGAGUAAUGCCUGGGAAAUUGCCCUGAUGUGGGGGAUAACUAUUGGAAACGAUAGCUAAUACCGCAUAAYGUCUACGGACCAAAGAGGGGGACCUUCGGGCCUCUCGCUUCAGGAUAUGCCCAGGUGGGAUUAGCUAGUUGGUGAGGUAAUGGCUCACCAAGGCGAC
RNAcentral lists this ribosomal RNA (291 nucleotides) under Vibrio sp. UCD-FRSSP16_10. RNAcentral describes it as "partial 16S ribosomal RNA". It matches the Rfam family "Bacterial small subunit ribosomal RNA", at positions 1 to 277 of the family's 1533-position model. The record is from RNAcentral. Lineage: Bacteria; Pseudomonadati; Pseudomonadota; Gammaproteobacteria; Vibrionales; Vibrionaceae.